This 512-nucleotide ribosomal RNA is filed under the name uncultured Paracoccaceae bacterium. RNAcentral describes it as "bacterial SSU rRNA". It matches the Rfam family "Bacterial small subunit ribosomal RNA", at positions 36 to 570 of the family's 1533-position model. Lineage: Bacteria; Pseudomonadati; Pseudomonadota; Alphaproteobacteria; Rhodobacterales; Paracoccaceae. The record is from RNAcentral.
CUGCCGGGCAGCGCCUAACACUAUGCAAGUCGAAACGGGAUCUUUCGGAUCUAGUUGGCGGACGGGUUAGUAUACGUGGGAACGUACCUUUUCUACGGAAUAGCCUCGUGGAAACUGAGAGUAAUACCGUAUACGCCCUUCGGGGGAAAGAUUUAUCGGAGAAUGAUCGGCCCGCGUAAAGAUAGAUAGUUGGUGGGGUAAUGGCCUACCAAGUCUACGAUCUUUAGCUGGUUUGAGAAGGAUGAUCAGCAACACUUGGGACUGACGACAACUGGGCCAGACUCCUACCGGGAGUGCCAGCAGUUGGGGAAUCUUAGACAAUGGGGGAAAACCCUUGAUCUAGCCAUGCCGCGUGAGUGACGAAGUGCCUUAUGGUCGUAAAGCUCUUUCGCUGGGGAACGAUAAUGACUGUAACCCCAGUAAAAGAAAACCCGGCUAACUCCGUGCAUGACAGCCGCGGUAAUACGGGAGGGGGUUAGCGUUGUUCGGAAUUAACUGGGCGUAAAGCGCGC